Molecule: ribosomal RNA, 794 nt
Filed under: uncultured bacterium
Lineage: Bacteria
Description: bacterial SSU rRNA
Rfam family: Bacterial small subunit ribosomal RNA
Source: RNAcentral
AGAGUUUGAUCCUGGCUCAGAUUGAACGCUGGCGGCAGGCCUAACACAUGCAAGUCGAGCGGAUGAGAGGAGCUUGCUCCUUGAUUUAGCGGCGGACGGGUGAGUAAUGCCUAGGAAUCUGCCUGGUAGUGGGGGAUAACGUUCCGAAAGGAACGCUAAUACCGCAUACGUCCUACGGGAGAAAGCAGGGGACCUUCGGGCCUUGCGCUAUCAGAUGAGCCUAGGUCGGAUUAGCUGGUUGGUGAGGUAAUGGCUCACCAAGGCGACGAUCCGUAACUGGUCUGAGAGGAUGAUCAGUCACACUGGAACUGAGACACGGUCCAGACUCCUACGGGAGGCAGCAGUGGGGAAUAUUGGACCAUGGGCGAAAGCCUGAUCCAGCCAUGCCGCGGUGUGUUGAAGAAGGUCUUCGGAUUGUAAAGCACUUUAAGUUGGGAGGAAGGGCAUUAACCUAAUACGUUAGUGUUUUGACGUUACCGACAGAAUAAGCACCGGCUAACUUCGUGCCAGCAGCCGCGGUAAUACGAAGGGUGCAAGCGUUAAUCGGAAUUACUGGGCGUAAAGCGCGCGUAGGUGGUUCGUUAAGUUGGAUGUGAAAGCCCCGGGCUCAACCUGGGAACUGCAUCCAAAACUGGCGAGCUAGAGUACGGUAGAGGGUGGUGGAAUUUCCUGUGUAGCGGUGAAAUGCGUAGAUAUAGGAAGGAACACCAGUGGCGAAGGCGACCACCUGGACUGAUACUGACACUGAGGUGCGAAAGCGUGGGGAGCAAACAGGAUUAGAUACCCUGGUAGUC